GUAUAUUGUGCGGAAAAAUCUCUACUGAAUGACAAAUCCAAGCAAUGUAAGUGACCUAACAUUUCACUGGUUGUAUGGUACAUCUCAUACAAUUUCUGAAUUCCAAUACCGUUCUUGUGUAGCUGGAUACUCCAUGGGACAAAGUUGAAGCUUUGUACAUCACUUCUCUACCUGUUUAUUAAUGUUUCUUCAUGUUUGGCAGUGAUCUGGGUUUCCAUGUACUUGAUAGAUGCAUUCCUUAUCUUUAUGUGUUCCAUCUAUGUAUAUAUGUUUCUGCCCAUAAAUGUAUUUAUGAGCUUGCUCUGUUUUUACUGCUUUCCUAUGUCAAUUUGAAAAGUACCCUUUAUUCCCCUAAAAAGGGCUAUACAUGCAUUUAAACGAGUGCACAUUUUCUAUAAACAUAAGCAUUGUCUUUACCCCACUGCUCUCUGGUGUGCAGCGAUGAAGAUUUCAUGCUCAACCUCCCUCACGGCCCCGGGUUCGGCUACUUUCCAGUUUUGUUAGUUUUCUUCUUGGUAGCACUGAACACCAUGGCAACAUGGGUGUCGUGGCCACACACAUGCAUUUUGUCGUCCUCCUUAAAAUUCAAUUAGAUUAUAUGCAAACAUGCAGUCGUGUUUACUUAAGAUCCAAUUAGAUGAAUGAUGUUUAUUUUUCCAUAUAGUUUCUAUUUAGAAAGGCCUCAUAUGCAAGUUGGGGACAUGCCGUGAACAUAUGGUUUUGUGAUAUAUGGUCUUGAGUCAUAUGUUGGAUGGGUGAUAAUGGAAAUUUUCUUGAGGAUAAACCCGUGCAUAAGUUUUGUGAGAGUUAAACCUGUUUUAUGAGAGGUAAAGCUGUUUUUUGAGAGUUAAACCCGUGCAUACGAAUGUAUUUUUUUUAGAACUGGUCAAACUAUUUUUUGUGAGAGUUAAAGUUGUUUUCUAGAGGACAAACCCAUGAAUAAGUUUCUCAUCUGUAGAGAUUAAUUAAUAGGAUGGUAAUUUAAGUUUAUUGGAGCUCUUUUUAAGAAGUGGGGGUCUGCUUUGGUUUCUUGCUGUUUGCAUAUUCUCUUAAAAACACUUGACUGACUGCAGCUGACUGUUUAUACAUCAAUAAUAUGGGCAGUUGAAUAUGGCGUUUUCAAGUGAAGGAUUUCAAAAAUCUAAUAUGGCAUGCCUAUUUUUCAUGGAAAAACAAAUGGUACCUUAUUUACUAUUUAGUUUUUAAGCUAGACUAAUUUGACUACACGCGUCCUGAGGUGCCUUCUGUUUUGGAAUAGUCAUAGAAUGCUCCUUAUUACGAGAUGUUCCUUUGUCACUAUUGGAAAUUCUGCCUAGGGUGGCCUUUGUCUUAGUUUACAGCUUCAUAUGGCUACCUAUGUAUAACAUAUGUAUGUUCUGUUUGAACCAUCUCAAAUCACAUAGAGAUGUUAAAUUUUCAAUGUGUUGCCUCGCGGUCGUGUGCCAUCACCAUGUUUACUCCAGAAAAGUGGAAUGUGCAGAGUUUCUUGUUGAUUAGUCAAAUAUUUGCUUUGCCUUAAAGACUGUCCCCAUCUAUGUUCCAGGUUGUGGCAACGCUGCAGAUAUGCCCAUUGCCAUUGAGCAUUUCUAUCUAUAUGCUUAUACAGAGUAUUUGGUUUUUGUACUAUACGCUUGAUGAAAUAAUUUCCUUAUAAGCUGGGACAAGGCGUUUGUAGUUGAUAUUUGUACUAUAAGCUCAAUUUUUUUGGUUCAUCUCAUCUCUGGUUAUUUUUUCGUUUUUUGUGUUUCUGCAGCAUAUUAUCAUUAGCAUAUAAAACCUCUUAUCUUUCUUGUUUUCAACAAUUAUUCUUUGGCAGGGAAGACUAUGAUAACACUAAGAUUAUCAGGAAAGGAUUCAGGGCUUUUUUUGAAUCCAGAUUAUCACACAUGAUGCAAAAUUAACAACCAUGACUUUGAAAUAUGGAUGAUGAUGCUUAUUAUGUGCUAGAAAUCAAAUAUGUAAAGGAGAAGAUAAUGUUUGCGAAGGUGUGUAUACUGAACAAGCAUCCUAAUUGAUGUGUUUUCCUGUUGUUUCUUGAUGUGCCCUCAUGCAGCUGUGUCCAUAUAUACUGAUUGUUAUACUUAUUGUUGUGUGAGUUGCAGGAGAGGGGAGAGAGAUACGGGUUGAUUCUGGGUAAACUUUGCUUAAUUUGUUGGAGAAAAUGCUCGAUAGAUCUCAUGGAUGGAUGAGGUUGUGGCAGUAGUUCUCGGGUGCAAUAUCUAUCUUGAUAGAGUGAUCAACUAGGGCACAUUAGAAGCAGAAGAGGAAACGUUUGGGCCGUCUAUGGUGUUGAAGAUUCAGUGUUUCUGUCUUGUGUACAUGCACGGCCAGUUCAGUAACUAGAUGGCCUUUUCUACUGUACUGGCGCUGCUACUUUUCACAUGCUAGCUUCUUUGGAAAGCGCCAACAGUGUGUACAACAUGUAAAGAGUCCAUCUUGAAGGAACAGAAGCGGAAGUAUGGAGCUGAUGUAUUAAUGGUCAAUCAAGGAAUUCAGUCUCGAUGAGCUUAACUAAUGAUGUGUGAGUUGAGCCUUAGGUCAUUUUCAAAGUAACGGAAGUACAAGAGAUUACUUGAAAAUAAACAUUUUUUCAAUGCGACAUGGUCUUAAGUGCGAUUUUAUACCACCAAAUUAAAAUAUCAUUGUAGACAACAGGCCUAUAUUUUUAUUUUAUUUUAUUAAAGGGUUAAACUUGUUAUCGUAUGUGUUUGCCCACAACUAAAUCAAAACAUGAUUUU
Molecule: long non-coding RNA, 2738 nt
Filed under: Triticum aestivum (bread wheat)
Lineage: Eukaryota; Viridiplantae; Streptophyta; Magnoliopsida; Poales; Poaceae
Description: long non-coding RNA (TAES_LNC016629)
Source: RNAcentral